UUAGAUGUUUUCCUGUAGGUAAAGGCUUAGUAGAAGUAUGAAGACAUAGGCUUGGAUCAUGGCUACUGCCACUUCUAGGAUUGUUAGUAGGAGAAGAAUUAUUGUGGUGAGAGUAGAUACUGUGGGUAUGAUGGGGAGGAGUGUGAUGGUGACUGUGGAGAUAAGUUGAAUGAGUAGAUGCCCUGCAGUGAGAUUUGCUGUGAGGCGGACUCCUAGGGCUAAUGGGCGAAUGAGGAGACUAAUAGUUUUGAUUAUGAUUAGGGCUGGGAUUAGUGGUGUGGGUGUGCCUUCAGGUAGGGUGAGUUUUGGGUUGUAGAUAAUGAUGAUGGUUAUUCAACCUAGAUGGGAGAUGGAUGAGAAAGCUAGGAUUUUUCAGGUUUGUGUUUGGUUAAGUCCUAUUCAACCACCUAGGGCGGUUGAUGUGAUGGCUAUGGUGGUGAGUAGUAUAGGGUUGAGUGAGUGUGAUGUAAGGAAUAGGAUGGCGGUUGGUGGGAGUUUUAUUACUGUUGACAGUAAUAUGGCUGUGGUGAGAGAUGAGCCUUGGAGUACUUCUGGGAAUCAGAAGUGGAAUGGGGCUAGUCCUAGUUUGAUGGCAAUUGCGGUGGUUAGUAGGAGGCAUGAUGGGGAGUUGGUGAGUUGGGUGAUGUCUCAUUGUCCAGUGGACCAUGCGUUGGUUAUGCUUGAGAAGAGAACUAGUGCUGAGGCGGUUGCUUGUACUAGAAAGUAUUUGAUUGUUGCUUCAAUGGCUCGGGGGUGGUGGGACUUUGAGAUUAGGGGAAUAAUGGCUAGGGUGUUGAUUUCUAGCCCGGUUCAGGCUAUUAUUCAGUGGUUGCUUGAGAUUGUGAUUGUUGUUCCUAGGAGUAAGUUUAGGGUUAAGAUGAGUUUUGCAUGGGG
RNAcentral lists this long non-coding RNA (894 nucleotides) under Strigops habroptila (Kakapo). RNAcentral describes it as "lncRNA (ENSSHBG00005000493.1)". Lineage: Eukaryota; Metazoa; Chordata; Aves; Psittaciformes; Psittacidae. The record is from RNAcentral.